This is a non-coding RNA of Macaca mulatta (Rhesus monkey), 1464 nucleotides long. Lineage: Eukaryota; Metazoa; Chordata; Mammalia; Primates; Cercopithecidae. The record is from RefSeq and is a predicted model, not a curated record.
UCAAACAAUUCUCCUGCCUCAGCCUCCCAAGUAGCUGGGAUUACAGUUGUCCCCUGUAGUGCUGGAGUGGGGAGUCAAGGAGUUGGCUUUCUGGUUUCUAGGUUAAAGUUUAGCUGUGGACAGUAUUAUUUCAGUGAUUCAAUGAGGGUAUGUAGGACCAUUUACUUUAAAGCAUGAGAUACAUUGCUGUACCUUGCAUCUCUGACACAAACAAAGAGACACAAGCUUUGUGUGCCUCACAUUUGGAAUAAAAACCACAUUUGAAAAUCUGCUUUGAUUCAUUUGCUGGUUUACCAACAAGGCUCAGCACUGAAACCAAAAAAAAAGACUCAGCUUUAAUUCUGAGCUAAUGUUCAUAUUGCCAGUCACUUGUGCUUUAUGGUCUAGUAGAUCCAAUGGUAUUGGAAGUAUUGUGAUAAACAGAGAAGUUGCAUAGAACUUCUGGAGAGCCAUCACAAAAGGAUAACAGCACAGAUUUUUAAGGUUCUGAAAUAAAGCCAUAUCUUCUCCCAAUAACUAUUCUCUAUUUGAAAUGCAGCCCUGCCUUGUUAUUGGGAGUUUGUAGAAUGAACACCUGUUCAUGGGACACCACAACUAUACAACUUGUAUUGUACAUCAUGAAUUAUUGUGAGUGAUCUGAUCCACUGAACCAUAAAAUUGGAUGUGCAUAGCAGCAUUCCAUUGUGAAGUGAAAAUGGUAUAUAUUAUGCUUGGCCACAUAGGUUUUGAAAGGCACAAAUAAACUGUAUGAACAGAUGGCUCAGAGUCCCGUGGUACUUGCUCCUGCUGCUUCACUGCCUCUCCCUCAGCUACUCAUAUGACCUCACGGGGAGUUUCCCAUGAUCAGUUAAUGGAGUAACAAAAAAUUUGAGGCUGGUUUACUGUUAGAUUUCCAAGAUAUACUGGUACUGGCUGGAAGGAGACUGCUACUGCAUACGUCUGUGCUCCAUAAAAACCCUUGAACACCGCGGUAAAGAAAAAACCUUUUGAUAGUUCACUUCCUAGGGAAGGAGAGAUGGCCUGAUUAAUGCAUCUACAGUGAUUGAUUAGGGGCAGCUAAUGAAUUGGCUGCUAUCUAAGUUUCCGGUCAUAUUGGGAAAAAAAGAGAAGAAUAUUCUCCAAGGAUUUCUUGGAAAUAGGAAUAGAACUAUAGCUUUUAGAAUGGACAGAGUGUGAAGAUAUUUAUAUCUUAUGUAAAUUCCCACUAGGAAAAAAUCCACUUUGGUACAGAGUAUCAGUAAUCUGGUAGACAAGAUGAGCCAUCCUGUGGGUAACAGUAUAUAUUUUCCCCUAGUCGUAUUGCUUUUUUUAAUUUUAGUUUUUAAUUUUUGUGGGUGCAUAGUAGGUAUGUAUACUUACAGGGUACCUGAGAUGCUUUGAUACAGGCAUGUAAUGUGAAAUAAGCACAUCACAGAGAAUGGACUAUCUAUCCCUUCAAACAUUUAUUCAUUCAGUUAUCAACAA